Molecule: ribosomal RNA, 484 nt
Filed under: uncultured bacterium
Lineage: Bacteria
Description: partial 16S ribosomal RNA
Rfam family: Bacterial small subunit ribosomal RNA
Source: RNAcentral
AUUGAACGCUGGCAGCAGGCCUAACACAUGCAAGUCGAGCGGAUGAAGGGAGCUUGCUCCUGGAUUCAGCGGCGGACGGGUGAGUAAUGCCUAGGAAUCUGCCUGGUAGUGGGGGAUAACGUCCGGAAACGGGCGCUAAUACCGCAUACGUCCUGAGGGAGAAAGUGGGGGAUCUUCGGACCUCACGCUAUCAGAUGAGCCUAGGUCGGAUUAGCUAGUUGGUGGGGUAAAGGCCUACCAAGGCGACGAUCCGUAACUGGUCUGAGAGGAUGAUCAGUCACACUGGAACUGAGACACGGUCCAGACUCCUACGGGAGGCAGAAGUGGGGAAUAUUGGACAAUGGGCGAAAGCCUGAUCCAGCCAUGCCGCGUGUGUGAAGAAGGUCUUCGGAUUGUAAAGCACUUUAAGUUGGGAGGAAGGGCAGUAAGUUAAUACCUUGCUGUUUUGACGUUACCAACAGAAUAAGCACCGGCUAACUUCGUG